RNAcentral lists this unclassified non-coding RNA (302 nucleotides) under uncultured fungus. RNAcentral describes it as "sequence contains ITS1". The stretch from base 1 to 105 matches the Rfam family "5.8S ribosomal RNA", at positions 50 to 154 of the family's 154-position model. The record is from RNAcentral. Lineage: Eukaryota; Fungi.
GAAAUGCGAUAAGUAGUGUGAAUUGCAGAAUUCAGUGAAUUAUCGAAUCUUUGAACGCACAUUGCGCCCUUUGGUAUUCCUUAGGGCAUGCCUGUUCGAGCGUUAUUUAAACCUUUAAGCCCUGCUUGGUGUUGGGUGCCUGUCCCGCCCCCGCGCGUGGACUUACCUCAAAUCCAUUAGCGGCCCCUACGUUGGCUACGAGCGCAGCAGAAACGCGAACUCGUAGGCCUGACGGGGCGGCUCCUAGAAGCCACAUUCACUAUUUUGACCUUGGAUUAGGUAGGGAUACCCGCUGAACUUAA